CAGUCGCCGCGGUAAUACGAAGGGUGCAAGCGUUACUCGGAAUUACUGGGCGUAAAGCGUGCGUAGGUGGUGGUUUAAGUCCGUUGUGAAAGCCCUGGGCUCAACCUGGGAAUUGCAGUGGAUACUGGGCGACUAGAGUGCGGUAGAGGAUAGUGGAAUUUCCGGUGUAGCAGUGAAAUGCGUAGAGAUCGGAAGGAACAUCUGUGGCGAAGGCAACUAUCUGGGCCAACACUGACACUGAGACACGAAAGCGUGGGGAGCAAACAGGAUUAGAUACCCCAGUAGUCCCUGUCUCUUAUAC
This 301-nucleotide ribosomal RNA is filed under the name uncultured bacterium. Its description in RNAcentral is "partial 16S ribosomal RNA". It matches the Rfam family "Bacterial small subunit ribosomal RNA", at positions 509 to 807 of the family's 1533-position model. The record is from RNAcentral.